UACGGAGGGGGCGAGCGUUAUUCGGAAUCAUUGGGCGUAAAGCGCGUGUAGGCGGCUUGGCAAGUCGGUUGUGAAAGCCCGGGGCCCAACCCCGGAACUGCAUCCGAAACUGCCUGGCUAGAGUCCCGGAGAGGAAGGCAGAAUUCCCGGUGUAGGGGUGAAAUCCGUAGAUAUCGGGAGGAAUACCAGCGGCGAAGGCGGCCUUCUGGACGGUGACUGACGCUGAGACGCGAAAGCGUGGGGAGCAAACAGG
RNAcentral lists this ribosomal RNA (253 nucleotides) under uncultured bacterium. Its description in RNAcentral is "partial 16S ribosomal RNA". It matches the Rfam family "Bacterial small subunit ribosomal RNA", at positions 524 to 776 of the family's 1533-position model. The record is from RNAcentral.